Molecule: ribosomal RNA, 590 nt
Filed under: Enterobacter sp. RCE-29
Lineage: Bacteria; Pseudomonadati; Pseudomonadota; Gammaproteobacteria; Enterobacterales; Enterobacteriaceae
Description: partial 16S ribosomal RNA
Source: RNAcentral
ACUAGCGAUUCCGACUUCAUGGAGUCGAGUUGCAGACUCCAAUCCGGACUACGACGCACUUUAUGAGGUCCGCUUGCUCUCGCGAGGUCGCUUCUCUUUGUAUGCGCCAUUGUAGCACGUGUGUAGCCCUACUCGUAAGGGCCAUGAUGACUUGACGUCAUCCCCACCUUCCUCCAGUUUAUCACUGGCAGUCUCCUUUGAGUUCCCGGCCGAACCGCUGGCAACAAAGGAUAAGGGUUGCGCUCGUUGCGGGACUUAACCCAACAUUUCACAACACGAGCUGACGACAGCCAUGCAGCACCUGUCUCAGAGUUCCCGAAGGCACCAAUCCAUCUCUGGAAAGUUCUCUGGAUGUCAAGAGUAGGUAAGGUUCUUCGCGUUGCAUCGAAUUAAACCACAUGCUCCACCGCUUGUGCGGGCCCCCGUCAAUUCAUUUGAGUUUUAACCUUGCGGCCGUACUCCCCAGGCGGUCGACUUAACGCGUUAGCUCCGGAAGCCACGCCUCAAGGGCACAACCUCCAAGUCGACAUCGUUUACGGCGUGGACUACCAGGGGUAUCUAAUCCUGUUUGCUCCCCACGCUUUCGCACC